Molecule: transfer RNA, 60 nt
Filed under: Dytiscus sharpi
Lineage: Eukaryota; Metazoa; Arthropoda; Insecta; Coleoptera; Dytiscidae
Description: tRNA-Ser2
Source: RNAcentral
AGUUAAUGAACUUGUAUAAGUAUAUGUUUUGAAAACAUAAUAAAAAGUAAAAACCUUUAU